This 454-nucleotide ribosomal RNA is filed under the name uncultured bacterium. Its description in RNAcentral is "bacterial SSU rRNA". It matches the Rfam family "Bacterial small subunit ribosomal RNA", at positions 29 to 526 of the family's 1533-position model. The record is from RNAcentral.
AGCGAACGCUGGCGGCAGGCUUAACACAUGCAAGUCGAACGCUCAUCUUCGGAUGGGAGUGGCAGACGGGUGAGUAACACGUGGGAACGUACCCUUUGGUUCGGAACAACUCCGGGAAACUGGAGCUAAUACCGGAUACGCCCUUUUGGGGAAAGGUUUACUGCCGAAGGAUCGGCCCGCGUCUGAUUAGCUAGUUGGUGGGGUAACGGCCUACCAAGGCGACGAUCAGUAGCUGGUCUGAGAGGAUGAUCAGCCACACUGGGACUGAGACACGGCCCAGACUCCUACGGGAGGCAGCAGUGGGGAAUAUUGGACAAUGGGCGCAAGCCUGAUCCAGCCAUGCCGCGUGAGUGAUGAAGGCCUUAGGGUUGUAAAGCUCUUUUGUCCGGGACGAUAAUGACGGUACCGGAAGAAUAAGCCCCGGCUAACUUCGUGCCAGCCGCCGCGGUAAGAC